Molecule: non-coding RNA, 838 nt
Filed under: Pan troglodytes (chimpanzee)
Lineage: Eukaryota; Metazoa; Chordata; Mammalia; Primates; Hominidae
Source: RNAcentral
GGUGGCAGGGAAGUUCGACUCCACAAACCACAGGCCUCGGCGGGGGAAGAGCCCGGCGGGCGCCAGCGAAGCGGAACCAAACGGAGCGGCGGCACGCAGGCGCAAAGGCUGGCGUUCGAGGUUCGUUUACGCGCCGCUCCGCCGUGCAGGUGGUGGCGAAGCGCUCCUCCGAAAGGUUUCGGAAGCCGGUGGUAGCUCUGAAGAUAACGCUGCGUUAGGGCAUACUGCGGCGGAGGAUGGAACUCCGAUUGAAAGCAGUUGCUGGAGUGGAGCACGAAUUUCAAAAAGCUGCAUGUUGAAGUGUGAGGCGUGAAAGGAUAUGUCUGAUAUUUGCUUUAAAAUGCUCCAGCAAAGAAAUUAAGGGAUGGAUGAAGCAAAAGAGCCAGGUAUGGUGGCUCAUGCCUCUAAUCCCAGCACUUUGGGAGGCCGAAGCAGGCAGAUCACCUGAGGUCAGGAGUUUGAGACCAUCCUGACCAACAUGGUGAAACUCGUCUCUACUACAAACAUAAAAAAAUUAGCUGGGUGUGGUACCACACACCUGUAAUCCCAGCUACUCCUCUGGAGGCUCAGACAGGAGAACUGCUUGAACCGGGAGGCGGAGGUUGCAGUGAGCUGAGAUCGCACCACUCCAUUCCAGCCUGGGCAACAGAGUGAGACUCCAUCUCAUAUAAAAAAAAAAAAGUAAAGAAAAAAAAGAAAAUGUCUUUAUUUCAUUUUCUUUCCUAAAGAAUAUAUUUGCUGGAUAAAGGAUUCUGUGUUGACAGUUUUGUUGCUUUUUAAAAGCACUUUAUAAAUGUUGCUCCAUGGUUUCUGAUGAGAAAUCUGCCAUCACUGAAAU